ACUUUUAAAGGAAAUUAGCAACCCAUUAGC
Molecule: transfer RNA, 30 nt
Filed under: Rhineura floridana
Lineage: Eukaryota; Metazoa; Chordata; Lepidosauria; Squamata; Rhineuridae
Description: partial tRNA-Leu
Source: RNAcentral